UGGGUAACCUGCCCCUGACACUGGGAUAACCCCGGGAAACCGGAGCUAAUACCGGAUACUCUCGGCCGAUCACAUGGCUGGCCGAGGAAAGGUCCGCCGGUCAGGGAUGGGCCCGCGGCCUAUCAGCUUGUUGGCGAGGUAACGGCUCACCAAGGCGACAACGGGUAGCUGGUCUGAGAGGACGACCAGCCACACUGGAACUGAGAUACGGUCCAGACUCCUACGGGAGCA
This 231-nucleotide ribosomal RNA is filed under the name uncultured bacterium. RNAcentral's name for it is "partial 16S ribosomal RNA". It matches the Rfam family "Bacterial small subunit ribosomal RNA", at positions 118 to 347 of the family's 1533-position model. The record is from RNAcentral.